Molecule: ribosomal RNA, 435 nt
Filed under: uncultured bacterium
Lineage: Bacteria
Description: partial 16S ribosomal RNA
Rfam family: Bacterial small subunit ribosomal RNA
Source: RNAcentral
GAUGAACGCUGGCGGUAUGCUUAACACAUGCAAGUCGAACGGACUCUUCGGAGUUAGUGGCGGACGGGUGAGUAACGCGUGAGAAUCUGGCUUUGGGUUCGGGACAACCACUGGAAACGGUGGCUAAUACCGGAUGUGCCGAGAGGUAAAAGAGAAAUUGCCUGAAGAUGAGCUCGCGUCUGAUUAGCUAGUUGGUGAGGUAAAGGCUCACCAAGGCAGCGAUCAGUAGCUGGUCUGAGAGGAUGACCAGCCACACUGGGACUGAGACACGGCCCAGACUCCUACGGGAGGCAGCAGUGGGGAAUUAUCCGCCAUGGGCGAAAGCCUGACGGAGCAAUACCGCGUGAGGGAAGAAGGCUCUUGGGUUGUAAACCUCUUUUCUUAGGGAAGAACAAAAUGACGGUACCUAAGGAAUCAGCAUCGGCUAACUCCGUG